This 82-nucleotide ribosomal RNA is filed under the name Parachlamydiales bacterium. The record is from RNAcentral. Lineage: Bacteria; Pseudomonadati; Chlamydiota; Chlamydiia; Parachlamydiales.
CCCAUUCCGAACUCAGAAGUUAAGCCCUUUUUCGCCGAUGGUACUACGCACGAGAGUGUGGAAGAGUAGGGCGUCGCCACUU